GUAGGUGGCAAGCGUUGUCCGGAAUUAUUGGGCGUAAAGCGCGCGCAGGCGGGUUCUUUAAGUCUGAUGUGAAAGCCCACGGGCUCAACCGUGGAGGGUCAUUGGAAACUGGAGAACUUGAGUACAGAAGAGGAAAGCGGAAUUCCACGUGUAGCGGUGAAAAGCGUAGAGAUGUGGAGGAACACCAGUGGCGAAGGCGGCUUUCUGGUCUGUAACUGACGCUGAGGCGCGAAAGCGUGGGGAGCAAACAGGAUUAGAUACCCUGGUAGUCCACGCCGUAAACGAUGAGUGCUAAGUGUUAGGGGGUUUCCGCCCCUUAGUGCUGCAGCUAACGCAUUAAGCACUCCGCCUGGGGAGUACGGCCGCAAGGCUG
RNAcentral lists this ribosomal RNA (373 nucleotides) under uncultured organism. Its description in RNAcentral is "partial 16S ribosomal RNA". It matches the Rfam family "Bacterial small subunit ribosomal RNA", at positions 527 to 896 of the family's 1533-position model. The record is from RNAcentral.